RNAcentral lists this long non-coding RNA (371 nucleotides) under Setaria viridis. RNAcentral's name for it is "long non-coding RNA (SVIR_LNC004484)". Lineage: Eukaryota; Viridiplantae; Streptophyta; Magnoliopsida; Poales; Poaceae. The record is from RNAcentral.
AAGAGUUAAACAUAGCUGGGUAAAAAAUACAACACGAAGGGAGGAGCCAAGUUCCUAGGCUCCCGGCAUCCUCGCCGGCCUUCGACGUCUGCCGACGCGUAUGCUGGAGGGGGGUGGCGGCGCGCCAACUGUCGUCGCGCCCUAUCGAUGGCCUCCUCGGUGGCUGUAGCCGCCGGGUCAUGAUGAGGGCGUUUCGUCGCGACUCCUGUGUCCGUUAGGGGAGGCAGCGGAUUCCACCAUCCUGCUGACAGCUCACGGAGAGCGGACGUCACAUCCCUACUGCCGGGUGCGUGAGGCACGAGAAUGGGCGAGGCUUCCCUCUACUCCGGGAGGCGCAGGCCAUGAGUGCCCUGCGGCGAAUGGAAGGAGGC